UAUUAAAGCUUCGGCACUUGAUGAUGGGUGUGCGGCUGAUUAGAUAAUUGGCGGGGUAACGGCCCACCAAGUCUACGAUCAGUAGCUGAUGUGAGAGCAUGAUCAGCCACACGGGCACUGAGACACGGGCCCGACUCCUACGGGAGGCAGCAGUAAGGAAUAUUGGACAAUGGACGAAAGUCUGAUCCAGCCAUGCCGCGUGAAGGAUUAAGGUCCUCUGGAUUGUAAACUUCUUUUAUAUGGGACGAAAAAAGGGCAUUCUUGUUCACUUGACGGUACCAUAUGAAUAAGCACCGGCUAACUCCGUG
RNAcentral lists this ribosomal RNA (308 nucleotides) under uncultured bacterium. RNAcentral describes it as "bacterial SSU rRNA". It matches the Rfam family "Bacterial small subunit ribosomal RNA", at positions 199 to 507 of the family's 1533-position model. The record is from RNAcentral.